RNAcentral lists this ribosomal RNA (455 nucleotides) under uncultured bacterium. RNAcentral describes it as "bacterial SSU rRNA". It matches the Rfam family "Bacterial small subunit ribosomal RNA", at positions 340 to 786 of the family's 1533-position model. The record is from RNAcentral.
UACGGAAGGCAGCAGUAGGGAAUAUUGCACAAUGGGCGAAAGCCUGAUGCAGCUAUGCCGCGUGUAUGAAGAAGGCCUUAGGGUUGUAAAGUACUUUCAUCGGGGAGGAAAAACAAAACUAAUAAUUUUAUUUCUUGACGUUACCCGAAAAAGAAGCACCGGCUAACUCCGUGCCAGCAGCCGCGGUAAUACGGAGGGUGCUAGCGUUAAUCAGAAUUACUGGGCGUAAAGAGCACGUAGGUGGUUUUUUUAAGUCAGAUGUGAAAUCCCUGGGCUUAACCUAGGAACUGCAUUUUGAAACUGAAAUACUAGAGUAUCGUAGAGGGAGGUAGAAUUCUAGGUGUAGCGGUGAAAUGCGUAGAUAUCUGGAGGAAUACCUGUGGCGAAAGCGGCCUCCUAAACGAAUACUGACACUGAGGUGCGAAAGCGUGGGGAGCAAACAGGGAUUAGAUACC